AACGAACGCUGGCGGCAUGCCUAACACAUGCAAGUCGAACGAGACCUUCGGGUCUAGUGGCGCACGGGUGCGUAACGCGUGGGAACCUGCCCUUAGGUUCGGAAUAACUCCCCGAAAGGGGUGCUAAUACCGGAUAAUGUCUUCGGACCAAAGAUUUAUCGCCUUUGGAUGGGCCCGCGUUGGAUUAGCUAGUUGGUAGGGUAAAAGCCUACCAAGGCGACGAUCCGUAGCUGGUCUGAGAGGAUGAUCAGCCACACUGGGACUGAGACACGGCCCAGACUCGUAGGGGAGGCAGCCGUGGGGAAUAUUGGACAAUGGGCGAAAGCGUGAUCCAGGAAUGCCGCGUGUGUGAAGAAGGUCUUCGGAUUGUAAAGAACUUUAAGUUGGGAGGAAGGGCAGUAAGUUAAUACCGGGCUGUUUUGACGUUACCAACAGAAUAAGCACCGGCUAACUUCGUG
This 458-nucleotide ribosomal RNA is filed under the name uncultured bacterium. Its description in RNAcentral is "partial 16S ribosomal RNA". It matches the Rfam family "Bacterial small subunit ribosomal RNA", at positions 29 to 507 of the family's 1533-position model. The record is from RNAcentral.